UCGAAGGUAGCAUAAUCAGUAGUCUUAUAAUUGAAGACUAGAAUGAAUGGUUGGACGAAAUAUUAACUGUUUCAUAUAAAUUUUAUAGAAUUUUAUUUUUUAGUUAAAAAGCUAAAAUAUUUUUAAAAGACGAGAAGACCCUAUAAAUCUUUAUAAUUUAUUAUUUUUUAUAAAUUAGAUAAUUUAUAUAAUUAUUAUGAAAUUAUUUUAUUGGGGUGAUAGUAAAAUUUAAAAAACUUUUAUUAAUUUUUUAACAUUAAUAAAUGAAUAAUUGAUCCAUUAAUAGUGAUUAAAAAAUUAAGUUACUUUAGGGAUAACAGCGUAAUUUUUUUGGAGAGUUC
RNAcentral lists this ribosomal RNA (341 nucleotides) under Asteia concinna. Its description in RNAcentral is "partial 16S ribosomal RNA". The record is from RNAcentral. Lineage: Eukaryota; Metazoa; Arthropoda; Insecta; Diptera; Asteiidae.